Molecule: ribosomal RNA, 496 nt
Filed under: uncultured bacterium
Lineage: Bacteria
Description: partial 16S ribosomal RNA
Rfam family: Bacterial small subunit ribosomal RNA
Source: RNAcentral
GACGAACGCUGGCGGCGUGCCUAAUACAUGCAAGUUGAGCGCUGAAGGUUGGUACUUGUACCAACUGGAUGAGCAGCGAACGGGUGAGUAACGCGUGGGAAUUCGCCCUUGGACGGGGGGCCACCUUUUGGAACGGAAGGCAAUACCGCAAAAAAAAUUUAAAACAAAGUUUUAAAGUUGAAAAAAUCCAUUUCAUCAAUUAAAGGUUAAUCCGCGUUGUAUUAGCUAGUUGGUGGGGUAAAGGCUCAACAAGGCGAUGAUACAUAGCCGACCUGAGAGGGUGAUCGGCCAAAUUGGGACUGAGACACGGCCCAAACUCCUACGGGAGGCAGCAGUAGGGAAUCUUCGGCAAUGGACGAAAGUCUGACCGAGCAACGCCGCGUGAGUGAAGAAGGUUUUCGGAUCGUAAAACUCUGUUGGUAGAGAAGAACGUUGGUGAGAGUGGAAAGCUCAUCAAGUGACGGUAACUACCCAGAAAGGGACGGCUAACUACGUG